AGUGAACGCUGGCGGUAGGCCUAACACAUGCAAGUCGAACGGCAGCACAGUAAGAGCUUGCUCUUACGGGUGGCGAGUGGCGGACGGGUGAGGAAUACAUCGGAAUCUACUUUUUCGUGGGGGAUAACGUAGGGAAACUUACGCUAAUACCGCAUACGACCUACGGGUGAAAGCAGGGGAUCUUCGGGCCUUGCGCGAUUGAAUGAGCCGAUGUCGGAUUAGCUAGUUGGCGGGGUAAAGGCCCACCAAGGCGACGAUCCGUAGCUGGUCUGAGAGGAUGAUCAGCCACACUGGAACUGAGACACGGUCCAGACUCCCACGGGAGGCAGCAGUGGGGAAUAUUGGACAAUGGGCGCAAGCCUGAUCCAGCCAUACCGCGUGGGUGAAGAAGGCCUUCGGGUUGUAAAGCCCUUUUGUUGGGAAAGAAAAGCAGCAGGUUAAUACCCCGCUGUUCUGACGGUACCCAAAGAAUAAGCACCGGCUAACUUCGUG
RNAcentral lists this ribosomal RNA (492 nucleotides) under uncultured bacterium. Its description in RNAcentral is "partial 16S ribosomal RNA". It matches the Rfam family "Bacterial small subunit ribosomal RNA", at positions 29 to 507 of the family's 1533-position model. The record is from RNAcentral.